This is a long non-coding RNA of Sapajus apella (tufted capuchin), 116 nucleotides long. RefSeq lists it as uncharacterized. The record is from RefSeq and is a predicted model, not a curated record. NCBI's taxonomy places the organism in Eukaryota, Metazoa, Chordata, Mammalia, Primates, Cebidae. The transcript is spliced from 3 exons.
CCAAACAUCGUAUGUUCUCACUGUUAUGUGGGAGCUAAGAUAUGAGGACACAAAGGCAUAAGAAUGACACAAUGGACUUCGGGGACUUGAGGGGAAGAGCAGAAAUGGGGAAAGGG